RNAcentral lists this unclassified non-coding RNA (285 nucleotides) under Hevea brasiliensis (rubber tree). The record is from RNAcentral. Lineage: Eukaryota; Viridiplantae; Streptophyta; Magnoliopsida; Malpighiales; Euphorbiaceae.
AUCCAAAAGCAUCUUCAGUUACUUCUGAUUCAAGUGACAAGAAGAAGAAGCUGAAGGUGCCAAAAAUACAUGAACAAUAUGAAAAAAAUAAUAAUUCUAGUCAAUAUAACAAAAAGAAAAAGAAAACUACAUGUUGAAUAUCAAGAAAAUUACGGGAGAGAGAUGAUCAAGAAACCUCGAAACUCCACAAUUUCUUGUCUUUAUACUAAAGGAUGAGUCUUUUCAAAGAUCCUGGAAGGAACAGCAAACCUGGCAGAGAAGGAGCGAGACAUGUUAUCAGGAUCA